Molecule: non-coding RNA, 383 nt
Organism: Paramuricea clavata
Lineage: Eukaryota; Metazoa; Cnidaria; Anthozoa; Malacalcyonacea; Plexauridae
Source: the annotation of a GenBank genome assembly
GCGUCCUAUUUUGAAGAGGGAUGGCCGUGUGAAGAGGGAUGACCAUCAGGGUAUAUUCAUUUUGUUAACGACAUGAUCCUUAUACUGACGACGUUAUUCCUUGAGUAUUAGUGAGCCACGUAAUUGCAAUUUAAGAUUACCCCUAUAGUGAAGACACUAGACUGGAGUAUUGAAACGUCAGGUCGUGAACAUAAUUUGUUCCGUGAACAGCAAGCAAAAUAAAAUAACUCCACCAAUCAGGACACAAGAAACAUGGCACAUGAUUUUAAUGCUCCUACCCAGGGUUGGUAAGAUUGGCCUUUUUGAGGCCAAAUAACUCGAUUUUGGCUUCUUUUUUUCUAGCUUGGCCUCGAAACAAUUUGGUCUUUUGGCUUUUUUUUGGC